GAGCGAAACGCCCCGCGGGGCGUCGUCGGGGUGUCGUGGCCCCGGCCUGACGAGCAGCUGGAG
This 63-nucleotide non-coding RNA is filed under the name Paenirhodobacter populi. The record is from RNAcentral. Lineage: Bacteria; Pseudomonadati; Pseudomonadota; Alphaproteobacteria; Rhodobacterales.